Molecule: long non-coding RNA, 1208 nt
Filed under: Musa acuminata (dwarf banana)
Lineage: Eukaryota; Viridiplantae; Streptophyta; Magnoliopsida; Zingiberales; Musaceae
Description: long non-coding RNA (MACU_LNC006412)
Source: RNAcentral
CGAAACCACCGCAUCGAGCCGGCCCAGCUGAAGUCAUCGCCCACGUUUGAGGGCACCGAAGUAGACGAUGACGUCGUCCCAAAAUGCCCCGGCUUCCUCUAUAAAUAGACAAGCCGAUGGCUUCUUUUCCCUUCUUUCAUUCGUUUGGUUGCUGUGUGGGUGGGUUAGGUUUUGGCUUCCGUUCCAGAUAAGUGUUCUUUGUCUCCUUUCUUUCUCUGUUUCCUUUCCUUUUCUUAAGGGUUAGUUCCUUUCUUUGGUUUCUGUGGCUUCUGGUUUAUCCUUGGCUGGGAUCCUUCUUAGGAUACACCUCCGGGUUUAAAAUCUGAUCUUUCGGGGUUGAUUUUGGCUUUUGGGUUGUUGUCUUUUAGCCCCGAUCCUCAGAAUCCGAUCUUUGGAAUCGACCCUUCCGUUUAGAGAGCUUGCGCUUCUCAAAAUCUGUUAUUUGGAGGCCAAUCUUUUCUUGAAAGAUCUGUUAUUUCGGUGUUGGUCUUUGUUCUUGCAAGUAAUUAGAGGGGGCUGAUGAUCUUGAUGUUUUCGUCUCUAAUUCUGUCGAAAACCAGUUUCUACCCUUUAUGAAUCUUGCUACUCUCAGCGUCUGCUUCCUCCACUCCUUCUCCGUGGUCCUCCUCUACUGGUUCUAUGUGAUCUCAUGAACUAAGUCUCUUUGCGUGAUCCAGUCAUUUCAUUUCAUUUUUUUCCGUUCAAACCAAUUUCUAUUAGCUUAGAAUCAGAGAACCACCCCUGCUAAAGAGUAUGUCUUCCAUUCCGGUCCGCCGCGCUUCGAGUUCUGAAGGAGACUCGCAGCCGACGUCCGAUGAGAGGAAGAGAAAGAGGAUGAUUUCGAACAGGGAGUCCGCAAGAAGGUCUAGGAUGAGGAAGCAGCAGCAUCUCGAUGAUCUGAUAAACCAAGCCGAGCAGCUCAAGAACCAAAACAGCCAGAUCGACGUGCAGAUCAAUCUGGCGACACAGCAGUACGUCAAGGUGGAAUCUGAGAACGCUAUUCUAAGGGCUCAGCUGAGUGAAUUGACAGAGAGACUGCACUCGAUCAACUCUGUUCUCCGUUUCAUUGAGGAGGUCAGUGGAAUGGCCAUGGACAUACCGGAGAUACCAGAUCCUCUCCUGAAGCCAUUGCAGCUUCCCCGUGCGGCACAACCAAUCAUGGCCAAUGCUGACAUGUUGCAGUUCUGAAAUGUCAUUGUUGUGUAAGG